RNAcentral lists this ribosomal RNA (1037 nucleotides) under Latheticus oryzae (longheaded flour beetle). RNAcentral describes it as "eukaryotic LSU rRNA". It matches the Rfam family "Eukaryotic large subunit ribosomal RNA", at positions 303 to 1096 of the family's 3401-position model. The record is from RNAcentral. Lineage: Eukaryota; Metazoa; Arthropoda; Insecta; Coleoptera; Tenebrionidae.
ACUCCAUCUAAGGCUAAAUAUGACCACGAGACCGAUAGCGAACAAGUACCGUGAGGGAAAGUUGAAAAGGACUUUGAAGAGAGAGUUCAAUAGUACGUGAAACCGUUCAGGGGUAAACCUGAGAAACCCGAAAGGUCGAAAGGGGAGAUUCAGCGUGUUUCGAUUGUUGCGCUAAGCAAUCGUGUGACGAACGACGUACGCGUUAUUCGCGCCUUUUGCUUUCCGAACUUCAGUCGAACGCGUGCACUUCUCCCCCUGUAGGACGUUGCGAUCCGUUGGGUGCCGGUCUAAGGCUUGUGGUGGAGACCGUUCGCACAGCUUGCUGUUUCGUUCGGACCCGCAAUGUUUCCCGGUCGGCUCGCUCGACGGUAUAUAGAUGGCGCGGGGCCGCUAAAUAAUUAGCGUUCGAUUCUUGGCAAGCGCGCUCGUCGUGAUAGCGAUCGGACCUAGUGCCGGUCCUGUCCCCGAGUGGCUGUUCGCUAAGUUUUUCUCGAACAGACCUCGUUGAAACGCCGAUCUGCGACGCUAUAGCUUUGGGUACUUUCAGGACCCGUCUUGAAACACGGACCAAGGAGUCUAGCAUGUGCGCGAGUCAUUGGGAAAUUACUAAACCUAAAGGCGCAAUGAAAGUGAAAGUCAGCCUUGCGCUGACCAAGGGAGGAUAGGUGAUCGUUACGGCUAUCGCCUCGCACUCCCGGGGCGUCUCAUUCUCAUUGCGAGAAGAGGCGCACCAAGAGCGUACACGCUGGGACCCGAAAGAUGGUGAACUAUGCCUGGUCAGGACGAAGUCAGGGGAAACCCUGAUGGAGGUCCGUAGCGAUUCUGACGUGCAAAUCGAUCGUCGGAACUGGGUAUAGGGGCGAAAGACUAAUCGAACCAUCUAGUAGCUGGUUCCCUCCGAAGUUUCCCUCAGGAUAGCUGGCGCUCAUUACACACGAGUUUCAUCCGGUAAAGCGAAUGAUUAGAGGCAUUGGGGUCGAAACGGCCUCAACCUAUUCUCAAACUUUAAAUGGGUGAGAUCUCCGGCUUGCUCGAAC